AUUGAACGCUGGCGGCAGGCCUUACACAUGCAAGUCGAACGAGUGGCGGACGGGUGAGUAAUGUCUGGGAAACUGCCCGAUGGAGGGGGAUAACUACUCGAAACGGUAGCUAAUACCGCAUACUAUCAGAUGGGCCCAUAUGGGAUUAGCUAGUUGGUGGGGUAACGGCUCACCAAGGCGACGAUCCCUAGCUGGUUUGAGAGGACGACCAGCCAAACUGGAACUGAGACACGGUCCAGAAUCCUACGGGAGGCAGCAGUGGGGAAUAUUGGACAAUGGGGGCAAGCCUGAUGCAGCCAUGCCGCGUGUAUGAAGAAGGCCUUCGGGUUGUAAAGUACUUUCAGCGGGGAGGCGUUACCCGCAGAAGAAGCACCGGCUAACUCCGUGCCAGCAGCCGCGGUAAUUC
This 406-nucleotide ribosomal RNA is filed under the name uncultured bacterium. RNAcentral's name for it is "partial 16S ribosomal RNA". It matches the Rfam family "Bacterial small subunit ribosomal RNA", at positions 30 to 526 of the family's 1533-position model. The record is from RNAcentral.